UCUCCGUAGGUGAACCUGCGGAGGGAUCAUUACAGAGUUCAUGCCCUACCGGGUAGAUCUCCCACCCUAUGUUAUUAUUACUUUGUUGCUUUGGCGGGCCGUUAGGCUCCGGCCCGACUACCGGCCCCGGCUGGUAAGCGCCCGCCAGAGGACCCAAAACCCUGAAUAUUAGUGUCGUCCGAGUACUAUAUAAUAGUUAAAACUUUCAACAACGGAUCUCUUGGUUCUG
Molecule: unclassified non-coding RNA, 229 nt
Filed under: plant metagenome
Description: partial contains small subunit ribosomal RNA, internal transcribed spacer 1, and 5.8S ribosomal RNA
Source: RNAcentral